ACUCCUACGGGAGGCAGCAGUAGGGAAUCUUCCACAAUGGGCGCAAGCCUGAUGGAGCAACACCGCGUGAGUGAAGAAGGGUUUCGGCUCGUAAAGCUCUGUUGUUAAAGAAGAACACGUAUGAGAGUAACUGUUCAUACGUUGACGGUAUUUAACCAGAAAGUCACGGCUAACUACGUGCCAGCAGCCGCGGUAAUACGUAGGUGGCAAGCGUUAUCCGGAUUUAUUGGGCGUAAAGAGAGUGCAGGCGGUUUUCUAAGUCUGAUGUGAAAGCCUUCGGCUUAACCGGAGAAAGUGCAUCGGAAACUGGAUAACUUGAGUGCAGAAGAAGGGUAGUGGAACUCCAUGUGUAGCGGUGGAAUGCGUAGAUAUAUGG
Molecule: ribosomal RNA, 376 nt
Filed under: uncultured bacterium
Lineage: Bacteria
Description: bacterial SSU rRNA
Rfam family: Bacterial small subunit ribosomal RNA
Source: RNAcentral